UAAGCAAUAACCAGCUUCAAGUUUUAUACCAUCCCGAUUACGCCGACAACGUUCCUCUUGAGGACUAUGAGGAAGACAGGGACAACAUCUGGACAACCGCUUCCACAUUCAUUAUCCUGUUCUUCCUGAGCAUUUCCUACGGUGCUGCCGUAACUCUGGUGAAGGUCAAGUGACGAUUGAAUGUUGAAAACCGCGUAUUUAUCUGACCGGUCUAUGGACGUCGUUGUAACCAAG
This is a long non-coding RNA of Amblyraja radiata (thorny skate), 234 nucleotides long. RefSeq lists it as uncharacterized. Lineage: Eukaryota; Metazoa; Chordata; Chondrichthyes; Rajiformes; Rajidae. The transcript has 3 exons. The record is from RefSeq and is a predicted model, not a curated record.